This is a long non-coding RNA of Drosophila persimilis, 188 nucleotides long. RefSeq lists it as uncharacterized. NCBI's taxonomy places the organism in Eukaryota, Metazoa, Arthropoda, Insecta, Diptera, Drosophilidae. The transcript is spliced from 3 exons. The record is from RefSeq and is a predicted model, not a curated record.
CGAGUCGCUAGCGAAACGCGCGCGUUUUCUUAGCGUUUUCUGCAGCCUAUACGCCCUAUACGUGUUUGUGUGUGAUUUUGCUUACAAGUGCUGACGCAAGUGCCUGAGCGAUUUGUGGAUCCGAUCCGUUCGCGUUGUUGCAUCACGAAUCGAGAAUGAAGACGCAACACCGACUACUCUGCUUGGCU